This 253-nucleotide ribosomal RNA is filed under the name uncultured bacterium. RNAcentral describes it as "partial 16S ribosomal RNA". It matches the Rfam family "Bacterial small subunit ribosomal RNA", at positions 524 to 776 of the family's 1533-position model. The record is from RNAcentral.
UACGAAGGGGGCUAGCGUUGCUCGGAAUCACUGGGCGUAAAGCGCACGUAGGCGGAUUGCUAAGUCAGGGGUGAAAUCCUGGAGCUCAACUCCAGAACUGCCCUUGAUACUGGCGGUCUCGAGUCCGGGAGAGGUGCGUGGAAUUCCCGGUGUAGCGGUGAAAUGCGCAGAUAUCAGGAAGAACACCCGUGGCGAAGGCGGCUCUCUGGGACGGUACUGACGCUGAGACGCGAAAGCGUGGGGAGCGAACAGG